GCUGGUGUAGCUCAGUUGGCUAGAGCAGCUGAUUUGUAAUCAGCAGGUCGGGGGUUCAACUCCCUUCACCAGCUCCA
RNAcentral lists this transfer RNA (77 nucleotides) under Aliarcobacter butzleri. RNAcentral's name for it is "tRNA-Thr". It matches the Rfam family "tRNA". Rfam says of the family: Transfer RNA (tRNA) molecules are approximately 80 nucleotides in length. Lineage: Bacteria; Pseudomonadati; Campylobacterota; Epsilonproteobacteria; Campylobacterales; Arcobacteraceae. RNAcentral also lists the same sequence under 25 other names. The record is from RNAcentral.